This 71-nucleotide transfer RNA is filed under the name Quasipaa exilispinosa (Hong Kong spiny frog). RNAcentral describes it as "tRNA-Gln". It matches the Rfam family "tRNA". From Rfam's summary of the family: Transfer RNA (tRNA) molecules are approximately 80 nucleotides in length. Their secondary structure includes four short double-helical elements and three loops (D, anti-codon, and T loops). Further hydrogen bonds mediate the characteristic L-shaped molecular structure. tRNAs have two regions of fundamental functional importance: the anti-codon, which is responsible for specific mRNA codon recognition, and the 3' end, to which the tRNAs corresponding amino acid is attached (by aminoacyl-tRNA synthetases). tRNAs cope with the degeneracy of the genetic code in two manners: having more than one tRNA (with a specific anti-codon) for a particular amino acid; and 'wobble' base-pairing, i.e. permitting non-standard base-pairing at the 3rd anti-codon position. The record is from RNAcentral. Lineage: Eukaryota; Metazoa; Chordata; Amphibia; Anura; Dicroglossidae.
UAAGGAAUAGCAUAAUGGAAGUGCGAAGAGUUUUGAUCUCUUAGGUGUAGGUUCAAUUCCUACUUUUUUAA